Molecule: ribosomal RNA, 399 nt
Filed under: uncultured soil bacterium
Lineage: Bacteria
Description: bacterial SSU rRNA
Rfam family: Bacterial small subunit ribosomal RNA
Source: RNAcentral
AGAUUGAACGCUGGCGGCAUGCCUUACACAUGCAAGUCGAACGGCAGCACGGGGGCGACCCUGGUGGCGAGUGGCGAACGGGUGAGUAAUAUAUCGGAACGUACCCUGGAGUGGGGGAUAACGCAGCGAAAGUUGCGCUAAUACCGCAUACGAUCUACGGAUGAAAGUGGGGGAUUCGCAAGAACCUCAUGCUCGUGGAGCGGCCGAUAUCUGAUUAGCUAGUUGGUAGGGUAAAAGCCUACCAAGGCAUCGAUCAGUAGCUGGUCUGAGAGGACGACCAGCCACACUGGAACUGAGACACGGUCCAGACUCCUACGGGAGCAGCAGUGGGGAAUUUGGACAAGUGGGGCAACCUGAUCCAGCAAUGCCGCGUGAGUGAAGAGUCCGUCGGUUAGUAAG